AGGUCAUGGACUACAAAAUAACCUAUUUAGUCGAAACUUCCCCAAAUGACUUGUGAUAUGAAGCAUCUUGCUGGAAAAAGAAAUUUCCUACUGAUUACUUGCCCAUUCCUACACAUGUGGAUGGAAUAGAAAGUGUGAACACAGGCUGUGGGGUUUGGCAGGAGUUCUUUUGUUAAUUCUGUAAUUUUUUUCCCCCAUUAGAGCAUGUUUUAAGUGUUCUGUUAAUCAGGAAAUACAUAAAAUAGGUGAAUAAAGUUCCUAAUGUUCAAUGAGAACUUAACAAUUUGACAACUGUUUUAUUCCACAGAUAUCUGAAAAAUUUCUAACAGUAUGAUCAGCUCAUUUCACUUUCAUAUUUAUCACUCUUUUAUCUUACUUGGUGUUUCCUAGGCUGAAGGUUUUAAUUUCCUUCCUAGCCUCCAAGUAUUUUCUUAAAUCCACAGCCUUCACCUUUUGGGGUGUGUUCCUGGCCAGAAUGGUUUCACUUGGACUUGUUUCAACCCACAUGUCUCUAUUGACUAGGUGGCUUCAGAUUCUGGGCAGACAUGGAUACAGCACUCUCCACUUUGUUCCAGGGAUCAUCCAAAAUGUGAAAAUAUAUGCUAUUAUGUGCACUGUGGUUUCUCAAUGCUUCGACAUAUUUAAACAUGAGAUUAACCCGUGUUUCGAUGCAUCAUAACUCGACAUAUGUCACAAAUGAAUAAUUAUGUGUAGCUGCUAUAGCAACUCUUACCAAUUUCCCCAGCACACGCCCUUCUUGGAAGGCAUUCUAGGCAGAUGCAUUAUUCCUGUUUCUUUAUGGUGUUUCUUAUUUCUUUAAAUCCGUCUAUACCCCAAUCUGUCCAGUAUCUUAACUGAUUACUUGUAUCAUUGCAAAUCUCUUUAUUAACUACAAAAUCAUAUCACCUCUAGAAACUAUCUUAUUUCUAAACAACAUAUAAACAAUAUCAAUUAAUCUUUGAUCACAUUACUGCAAGAUCCUGCCAAUUAUUAUUGUUUUUUUUGCCUUUAGAUAAAAAGCAAAACAAAGAGGGGGGUCUGGCUGACUCAAUCAGAAGAGUGCACAACUCUUGAUCUUGGGGUUGUGAGUUUCAGCCCCACGUUGGGCAUAGAGACUACUUCAAAACAAAAACUUAAAAAACAAAAAGAAUGCCUGUUUUUAAAAUCUGUUUUAUACUCUGAUUCCUGACAUUUAAAUAUCUUUAAAAAUGUUAAAAUGGCUCUUAAAAAUUCCUUCAAAUAAUCUUUUUGCAGGUAUAAUGUAGCCCAUGUUUCAUUAAGAUAAUGUAAGAUUCUGGAUGCCAGAAACUUGAUUAUAACAGUCAGGUAAAGUCUACCAUAUUUGGAUAUUAACCACUUGAAGGGAUGUGUUAAUUCCUAUUUAACCGGGACUUCAUAAUGGCAGAAGAUUAAACCUAGUACAUACUGCAAGAAAAAGUAUGUACAGUUUAUUAUACAAAUUUAAAUACAAGUACUCAUAGAGACUAUACACUGGUUACCAUUUUCCACUUACUCCUCCUGAAGAAACUGGUAUUAAUUUUUAAUUAGGAAAUCAUUCUAUUCCAGUGUGGAAUACUGCUCAUUGUCCCAAAGUUUCUAUGCUGGGAUGUUCGCUUCUUACUUCAGGGAUUAUGUUACCAUAUUUCAGACACUACAAUGCAAUUAUAUGAGGAACAAUUGUUGAAUACUGAAUCUUUAUCAGCUGAUUUCUAUGGAAGGCUUCCAUUCUUUGUAAUAAUACUCUCUGGCUGACCGUGUUAGUGCGAUGCUUUGGUUCAGGGUCCAAUUGGAGCACGCUGCUUGACAGUCCCAUUUGAAUCAACAGUCUUGGCUUUGGAGAACAGAAGAUAUUUUAAAUUCAUUUUAGCUGGACGAGUCAAUUUCUGCCUGAAAAAUCUGAAAUAUGGGUACUAGGGUCUUGUACAUCAUCAUUAAACAUACUCUUUAGCAGCUGGAACUCAAGGAAUUACUUUCUUUUAAAAAAUUUUUUAAAAUUUUAAAAAAGAUUUUAUUUAUUUACUUGAGAGAGAAAGAGAUUGAGACAACUAGUGAGAGGAGGGGCAGAGGGAGAAGCAGACUCCCUGCAGAGCAGGGAGCCCAAUACGGGACUCAUACCAGGAUCCCAGGACUGCUUAACCAACUGAGCCACCCAGGUGCCCAAGGAAUUACUUUCUAAUCAAUUUAUAUUUACUAUUUUCUUGGUUACACUGAGACUUAAUAAAUGUUUC
Molecule: long non-coding RNA, 2228 nt
Organism: Ursus maritimus (polar bear)
Lineage: Eukaryota; Metazoa; Chordata; Mammalia; Carnivora; Ursidae
Source: Ensembl